GUGGGGAAUAUUGCACAAUGGGCGAAAGCCUGAUGCAGCAACGCCGCGUGAGUGAUGAAGGUCUUCGGAUUGUAAAGCUCUGUCUUUUGGGACGAUAAUGACGGUACCAAAGGAGGAAGCCACGGCUAACUACGUGCCAGCAGCCGCGGUAAUACGUAGGUGGCGAGCGUUGUCCGGAUUUACUGGGCGUAAAGGGUGCGUAGGCGGAUGUUUAAGUGAGAUGUGAAAUACCCGGGCUUAACUUGGGUGCUGCAUUUCAAACUGGAUAUCUAGAGUGCAGGAGAGGAGAAUGGAAUUCCUAGUGUAGCGGUGAAAUGCGUAGAGAUUAGGAAGAACACCAGUGGCGAAGGCGAUUCUCUGGACUGUAACUGACGCUGAGGCACGAAAGCGUGGGUAGCAAACAGGAUUAGAUACCCUGGUAGUCCACGCCGUAAACGAUGAGUACUAGGUGUAGGAGGUAUCGACCCCUUCUGUGCCGCAGUAAACACAUUAAGUACUCCGCCUGGGAAGUACGAUCGCAAGAUUAAAACUCUAAAGUGAAUUGACGGGGUC
RNAcentral lists this ribosomal RNA (552 nucleotides) under uncultured bacterium. Its description in RNAcentral is "partial 16S ribosomal RNA". It matches the Rfam family "Bacterial small subunit ribosomal RNA", at positions 354 to 920 of the family's 1533-position model. The record is from RNAcentral.